This 498-nucleotide ribosomal RNA is filed under the name uncultured bacterium. RNAcentral's name for it is "bacterial SSU rRNA". It matches the Rfam family "Bacterial small subunit ribosomal RNA", at positions 28 to 508 of the family's 1533-position model. The record is from RNAcentral.
GAUGAACGCUAGCGGCAGGCUUAAUACAUGCAAGUUGAGGGGCAGCAUGAUAUACGCGAGUAUAUUGAUGGCGACCGGCGGACGGGUGAGUAAUAGGUAGGAGACCUACCUCAUACAGGGGGAUAGCAUAGAGAAAUCUGUGGUAAUACCCCAUGAGGUUAUAUGAAUAGAGGCAUAUAAUCAAAGCAUAAGCGAUUAUGCGGUAUGAGAGGGGCCUACUGACCAUUAGCUAGUUGGUGAGGUAAGGGCUCACCAAGGCGAAGAUGGUUAGGGGUUUUGAGAGAGAGACCCCCCACAUUGGAACUGAGAGACGGUCCAGACUCCUACGGGAGGCAGCAGUAGGGAAUAUUGGGCAAUGGGCGAAAGCCUGACCCAGCCAUGCCGCGUGAAGGAAGACGGCCUUAUGGGUUGUAAACUUCUUUACUACGCGAAUAGAGGUUAGUACGAGAUACUAAUAGGAAGGUAGUGUAGUAAAAAGCAACCGGCUAAACUCCGUGA